GCCCAGGUUUACUACCAAAUAUCACACCAACUCAGCCCAGGUUUACUCCUCUAUAUCACACCAACUCAGCCCAGGUUUACUCCUAUAUAUCACACCAACUCAGCCCAGGUUACCUCCUAUAUAUCACACCAACUCAGCCCAGGUUUAUUCCAAUAUAUCACACCAACUCAGCCCAGGUUUACUCCUAUAUAUCACACCAACUCAGCCCAGGUUUACUCCGAUAUAUCACACAAACUCAGCCCAGGUUACCUCCUAUAUAUCACAUCAACUCAGCCCAGGUUUGCUCCUAUAUAUCACACCAACUCAGCCCAGGUUUACUCCUAUAUAUCACACCAACCCAGCACAGGUUACCUCCUAUAUAUCACACCAACUCAGCCCAGGUUUACUCCUAUAUAUCACACCAACUCAGCCAAGGUUUACUCCUAUAUAUCACACAAACUCAGCCCAGGUUACCUUCUAUAUAUCACACCAACUCAGCCCAGGUUUACUCCAAUAUAUCACACCAACUCAGCCCAGGUUACCUCCUAUAUAUCACACCAACUCAGCCCAGGUUUACUCCUAUAUAUCACACCAACUCAGCCCAGGUUACCUCCUCUAUAUCACACCAACUCAGCCCAGGUUUACUCCUAUAUAUCACACCAACUCAGCCCAGGUUUACUCCUAUAUAUCACACCAACUCAGCCCAGGUUUACGCCUAUAUAUCACACCAACUCAGCCCAGGUUUACUCCUAUAUAUCACACCAACUCAGCCCAGGUUUACUCCUAUAUAUCACACCAACUCAGCCCAGGUUAACUCCUAUUUAUCAAACCAACUCAGCCCAGGUUUACUCCAAUAUAUCCCACCAACUCAGCCCAGGUUUACUCCAAUAUAUCCCACCAACUCAGCCCAGGUUUACUCCUAUAUAUCACACCAACUCAGCCCAGGUUAACU
Molecule: long non-coding RNA, 931 nt
Filed under: Salmo salar (Atlantic salmon)
Lineage: Eukaryota; Metazoa; Chordata; Actinopteri; Salmoniformes; Salmonidae
Description: lncRNA (ENSSSAG00000096240.1)
Source: RNAcentral